AGUGAACGCUGGCGGUAGGCCUAACACAUGCAAGUCGAACGGCAGCACAGUAAGAGCUUGCUCUUACGGGUGGCGAGUGGCGGACGGGUGAGGAAUACAUCGGAAUCUACUUUUUCGUGGGGGAUAACGUAGGGAAACUUACGCUAAUACCACAUACGACCUACGGGUGAAAGCAGGGGAUCUUCGGACCUUGCGCGAUUGAAUGAGCCGAUGUCGGAUUAGCUAGUUGGCGGGGUAAAGGCCCACCAAGGCGACGAUCCGUAGCUGGUCUGAGAGGAUGAUCAGCCACACUGGAACUGAGGCACGGUCCAGACUCCUACGGGAGGCAGCAGUGGGGAAUAUUGGACAAUGGGCGCAAGCCUGAUCCAGCCAUACCGCGUGGGUGAAGAAGGCCUUCGGGUUGUAAAGCCCUUUUGUUGGGAAAGAAAAGCAGCAGGUUAAUACCCCGCUGUUCUGACGGUACCCAAAGAAUAAGCACCGGCUAACUUCGUG
Molecule: ribosomal RNA, 492 nt
Filed under: uncultured bacterium
Lineage: Bacteria
Description: partial 16S ribosomal RNA
Rfam family: Bacterial small subunit ribosomal RNA
Source: RNAcentral